Small nucleolar RNA from Dendrobium catenatum, 107 nucleotides. The record is from RefSeq and is a predicted model, not a curated record. Lineage: Eukaryota; Viridiplantae; Streptophyta; Magnoliopsida; Asparagales; Orchidaceae.
AAGGCAUGGUGUGGGAACUUUUUAAGCAUCUCCUUGAAUCUCUCACAACUCUCAUAAAUAGAUCCUCUUUCUAACUGAAUAAAAGAAGAAAUAUCAUUUCUAAGUUU